Molecule: ribosomal RNA, 545 nt
Filed under: uncultured Glomus
Lineage: Eukaryota; Fungi; Glomeromycota; Glomeromycetes; Glomerales; Glomeraceae
Description: SSU rRNA
Rfam family: Eukaryotic small subunit ribosomal RNA
Source: RNAcentral
UUGGAGGGCAAGUCUGGUGCCAGCAGCCGCGGUAAUUCCAGCUCCAAUAGCGUAUAUUAAAGUUGCUGCAGUUAAAAAGCUCGUAGUUGAAUUUCGGGACCAUCAUGUCGGUCGUGCCUCGGUACGUACUGGCAUCGUUGGUUUCUCCCUUCUGACGAACCAUGAUGUCAUUUAUUUGGUGUUGUGGGGAAUCAGGACUGUUACUUUGAAAAAAUUAGAGUGUUUAAAGCAGGCUAACGCUUGAAUACAUUAGCAUGGAAUAAUGAAAUAGGACGUUUGAUUCUAUUUUGUUGGUUUCUAGGAUUGACGUAAUGAUUAAUAGGGAUAGUUGGGGGCAUUAGUAUUCAAUUGUCAGAGGUGAAAUUCUUGGAUUUAUUGAAGACUAACUACUGCGAAAGCAUUUGCCAAGGAUGUUUUCAUUAAUCAAGAACGAAAGUUAGGGGAUCGAAGACGAUCAGAUACCGUCGUAGUCUUAACCAUAAACUAUGCCGACUAGGGAUCGGAUGAUGUUAAUUUAAUGACUCAUUCGGCGCCUUACGGGAAAC